UUGGUUUACACCUGUUUUGAGCAUAGUCAUGGUUUUAUUAUUAAACUCACCUUCUUCCUGACUCCCUGUGUAUACGUUACAGAAUACUGCCUCUCAAGAUAUGAAAGCAGCAGAAGUUAAGGAUAUCUCCCAGAUGGUCGACGAACAGGAACACCUACUCCGUCAACGCCAUGACCAGCUGGCUCAACUGGGUACGGUAAUGGAUCAGGUCCUCCACGUUCCCCACCACCCGCGAGAAUCUCCAACUAGUGGAUGAUCCUCGACCACGAGUCGUCCCAGCGAGCCAGAUCCCCAGCCCAUCCAGCAGCUGAUCCAGCAGUCUGCCCAGACAGGAGCCCCCACCACCGAGAGGUCCAAGGUUGCUGCGGUCAUUUCCCUGCUUACCAGACGGGCUUUGGAGUGGGCCACGGCCUUCUAGGAGAGGAGGAGCUGAGUUCCUAUGAGAGGUUCAUGGCUCUGUUUAUGGCGAUCUUCGAUCAUCCACCUGAGGGCAGGGCGGGAGGUGAGCGACUGCUCCAUCAGGGUGCCCAGAUCACUGCAGAGUACGCCCUCAUCUUCCAGACUGUGGAAUAAGACGAUUCUCUAAAUCCUGCCAUUUUAUCCCGCUCUCCGGUCUCCCUACUGCUCUCCAGGUCGCUGAGGCACAGUUCCAGCAGGUCUUCCGACACUAUGGCCUUCCGGAGGACAUCGUCUCCAAUAGUGGCCUCCAAUUCACAUCACGGGUAUGGAAAGCCUUCAUGGAGAAGCUGGGGGUCACCGGGCAGGUGGAGAGGAUGAACCAGGAGCUGGGGAGGUUCCUUAGGUGCUGGCCUGGUUCCAUCCCUGGAUAGAGUACACCCAGAAUUCACCGUGCCACUCCUCCACCGGGCAGACCCCCUUCCAGUGUGUCCUGGGAUAUCAACCAGCUCUGGCUCCAUGGACCCCAAGCCAGACCGACGCUUCUGCGGCAGACUAGUAGUUCAGAAGGAGCAGGUGGAGCCGGCAGACUGAGGUUCCUGUAUUCCAUCCUGGUGAUCGUGUCUGGCUCGCCACCGGGAACCUCCUGCUCUGUAGGAAGCUGAGUCUCCGGUUUAUGGGGCCCUUUAAGGUCCUCCGGGCAACCCGGUGGUUCCUGGUUACCCACCCCCGGACAUCGAUGGGAGUCUCACCUUUGCCGUCAGGUCCCUCCUGGACUCCCGAGGUCGUGGGGGUUGGCUCCACUACCUGGUGGACUGGGAGGGUACGGUCCAGAGGAGCGCUGUUGGGUCACGGUGGACGCCCCCCGCAACGCCCCUGGACAUCGAUGGGCGCCUCGCCUUUGCCGUCAGGUCCCUCCUGGACUCCUGACGUCGUGGGGGUUGGCUCCAGUACCUGGUGUACUGGGAGGGUAUGGGCAUGGCGUCAUCCUGCGGCUAGUGGAGGGGGUACUGUCACGCCUACUCCUGUCACUUCCGCUCCGGCACUCGACUGCGCCAGUCUACUAACCACCGGUCCUAGCAACCCACAUUACGCACACCUGGCAACCAUCAUUGCGCACACCUGGACUUCAUCAUCACCCUGAUUACUUUCCCUUUUAUUUAGCCUUCAGUAGCCUCAGUCUUCAGGCAGUAUUGGUAUGGUUUAUGUUGAAUACGCUGCCCCUGUUUUGAUUAUCUUCAUGUUUCUUAUUAUUAAACUCACCUUCUGCACCUGCUUCCUGACUCCCUCGACACAGAUUAAGCCUAGUCCUGAAAUUAAAAGCAUGAUCAAGGGAGGAUCUGGCACAGUGUGUACCUGUCCAGGCUAGAGGGUGACUGUGGGCCUUGGUGUGUCUGUGGGGAACCUUUGGAAGUCUGGCUGGAGUACGUCACACUAGACUCCUCAUAGGGGAUCCUGCUGGGGUACAGACCGCUUGUUUGCAGAGGGGAACAGGUGCCAACGCUUCCUGAAAUAUAACAGGGUAGGAGUGCUGAUCUAGGUUCAGUUUAUUUUUAAAGGGAAAGCCAUCUUCACCAAAG
Long non-coding RNA from Oncorhynchus tshawytscha (Chinook salmon), 1976 nucleotides. Lineage: Eukaryota; Metazoa; Chordata; Actinopteri; Salmoniformes; Salmonidae. The record is from Ensembl.